UUUUAUCUAGGAGGUAUGUUUUUCAACCUGAUUUGAGUAUCUCUGUUUUGGUAGGGUGUUUUCAUAAAUCCAGCCUUCAUUGAGCCAUUUGGACUUACUUUAAUUGAGGUUAUUACUCUUGAGGAUGUAAUAAAGGGAAUUAAGAUCAUGAGGGAGACUUUGAUAUAUUUGUCACAUCUUGAUCACGAGGACACGGAAAAGCUGGUAUGGGUUUAUGGAAAAUAAAGUAGUAAAUGUAUUGAAAUAUUUUUCAUGUUUUCUAUUUGUACCAAAGUUAGUACAAGCUUGUGUUAGCUAUAGUUUUUAUUUAUAUUUAUGUCUAAUAAUAUUUCUGUUAUGAUGUGACCUAUUUUGAGUGGAAAUUUCUUUCAAGUCAUGUGGCUGCAGCUUGGGGGCUGCUGAUAGUGAAUAGUUUGAGGAAAAAUAUGAGUGGGGAAUUUCUUUUAUUGGCCAU
Molecule: long non-coding RNA, 454 nt
Organism: Humulus lupulus (European hop)
Lineage: Eukaryota; Viridiplantae; Streptophyta; Magnoliopsida; Rosales; Cannabaceae
Exons: 3
Source: RefSeq, a predicted model, not a curated record